UAAGCGCUAGUUAUUUUCUUGGCUUUAUGUAAUCAGAAUAGAGCAGAAACAAUCCUCUGAAGCUAAGUAUCUUCUAAGGUUUGCUGAUAGUUCUUAUUAACUGGAAACAACACACUUACAGGCUCACAUUAUAUUAUGGGGUUUGGGCUUUUGAGGUGUGAGAUUUGGCGGAGGGGUGGUUUGCAGCUCAGAUCAGUACUGGAUUGAUUUCGCAAUUCCUACGUGGAUCUCCAGCGUGGCCUUCCUGAGCCUGCCCUGGUCCUGAGAGGAGCGCUGAGGAAGCUGCGAGCCCUGGGCCCGCUCAAGUACCGCGGUUAUUGGGAUGCAGAAGAAAGCAGCUCGGCCCUGGCCGCUUGUGCAAUUCACCUUAUCCUCUGCUAUUCAAUUAAUUUAAUGGAGUCGGAUUAUCACCCAUUUGAGCAAGUGCCGCUGGAAUUAGGAGAUGACAAGGAUGCAAAGAAAGUGCCAAGAACUCCCUGAGAUGACCGAGAUGUCGGGGUGGCCCUGGCCCCCUGCAGCCCCCCGGGGUGCCCCAGGGCCCCCGAAGCCCGAGCCGCGGAGCGGGGCGGCGGGGGUGGCCCUGUGCCGGGCCGUGCCCACCGGCCCCGGCACGGACCUGCCGUGCUUCUCGCCGUAGUUCCACAUCGGCAAGGGCCACCGCUGGGUCGCUUUGGCGCAUCGUUUGCCUCACGACAGGCUUCUGCCAGCCCUGCAGGUUUCAGCUUUUACCGUGGCCAGGCUAGCCACACUCUGUCAUACACGAAUGUAAUGAAAGCACUUCUAUUUUUAUUCCUGCUAACGGGCCGUUUUUGCUUGCAUCCACUCCGAGCCAUGGACGAUGGGAACAAACGAGUACUUAAAAACAAACAGGAAAAAAAAAAGAAAGAAAAAAAAAAAAGAAAAAACAAACAACAACCCCAAAAGAGAGGAAAAAACCCCAAAACAAAUACAUCCAACCAGGCUGGGAUGAGGAUUACUCACUUCAGCGCUGGCUAUAAGAAGGUACAAGCCUGGGGAGGGAGAGCGGCGGGCGGCGGAGCCGAGCUGAGCGCGUCGCGGAGGCAGAGCAGCAGACGGGGGUGCGGAGCUCCCGCGGGCGCGGGCGGCGCGGAGGAAUGCCGGGUGCCGGCGCUGCAGAGGGCAGAGGACUGUUUUCCACAUUAAUUUGUGGGCUUAGCUGGGCUGCAAAUGCAUUUUUCCUGGCACGGGGAUGUGCGCGCCUGUGUGUGUACAUACACAUCCUCCGGCAGCGUGGUCCUGCUCGAGUCUGUGUGGUGCAACGUGAGUCUGCCCAGCUUGAAGGAAUGCGGUGGUCAAAGCAGCUUUCCACAGCUGGUUCGUUUUUUUGAGAUCUGCCCCCCAAUAGUGGUACUUUUCCCUGGCAGAAUUUGAUUUAAAUAAACUAAAUCAGAACGGUCUCGCUCUCGCCUAGCCUAGCCGCUUUUCGCCCCCUCCCCUUCCUCCUUUCUUUCUUUAUUUCUGUGUGAGCGCUCCUGGGAAAGUGGAUCGGUUAGAGGGGAAGGCUUUUGAAAACGUGGGGGAAAAUGUAAGAGAAUUCAGAGGGUCCGGGCUUUCUUUGUGUGGUGCUGAAGCCGCGGCGCUGCUUUGUGCUUUGGAAGGAGAAAAUGGCGAGUCCUAUUGUGUUUAGGCCAUUUUCUUCCGGUACAAGGGUUUCCCCCCAAAUCCUAAAUACUUCAGGGCUCUUUUGAAAGAAGUCUCCCAGCCCACGAAGUGUGAAUGGCUGCAGCUCUGCCUUUUCCCCAGCCGGCAGUACCUCACAUUUGAGAGAGCCCACUCAUUGCUCCUUGCAGGGCUAGUGCACAAUUCCUAAAGCUGCUGCAUUCAGAGCCUCUUGCAACGGAGCAGCUGUUUCAACUGCUCUUAGCCCGCGUUAUUCAACGGAGGGGAGCAGGUUAUGAGAGUAGAGGGGACCAAAGAAAUAAUAAUCCGAGACCUGUCCUUGCUUUAAAAUGAUAAGAAGGAGCAACGUUAACCAGUGCGGGGGUGGUGGUGGUGGCGGGGUGGUAGUGAUCAUCUGAGGAAAGACUUGUGAACCGUUGAGCGACAGUUUGACUUUUCCACUAAAUUAUUUAAACUUUAUGUGUGCAUACAUGUAUGUGUGUUUCUGAGAGAGUAUGUGCAUAUGCACGCAGGCACAUAGCAAGGAAGAACUUCAGUCUCGGAAAGAGGUCGUAUAUAUGUAACGUGAGAUUUUAGAGCAUAUUUAACCAUUCUGUGCAAGUUAAUCCCCCUGUAACAUGCAAUGAAAGAAAUAGUUUGCAGUGUUGUCAGUUCUUUUCAGGUCAGCCGGUAAGCAAGUACCAGUUACCAAAACCCAUGUCUGAAUUUCCACAUUAAUCCGUUUAAGGAAACAAAUCAGAGUCCGAGGUUUAAAGACCGUUGUCCGAUAUCAAACACUUUUCAUUAUAAUGUGGGCUUGCCCAGGCGCCAGUGAUUAAAAGCACUUUGAAACAAGCGAGCUAGCAAAUAAAACCCAAGAAAGGCAAAUGCCCCACCACCACCUCUUCCCAUGGUGCUGAAUUUAAAAAUAUUGCUAUUAAUAAUAAAAAUAAAGCACAGGCGUUUUCAGAAGUGCCCUGGGACAACCGGCGGGUUCCCUGGCCCCUCGGCGGCGUCUGGCAGCGCGGGCGCGGAGGGGCGCGCAGUGCCGCCCGCCCGGGCGCGGAGAGCAGCGCCGCGCUACCGCCGGCGGGUCAGGACCAUGGACAGGGACUGGGUGCGUGGCUGGGGCCGGGCCCGGGCCCGUGGUCACCCCGGGAGAAAAGGGGGUGAAUAGGGCUGCCUGCCCCCCCACCCCCCAAACGCUGGGCAACUGAGCUGGUCUGCCUUUCCUGUUUUCCUUCUCGUGUGGCUGCUCAAGUUUCCAGACAAAAGACUUGAGAAAUUACAUUUAUCAUUCUCCUGCAUGAGAGCAAAGUCUAUUAAAAUGCCAAGCUAGUGAUUUCUCUUCUUACUGCCCGCAAAAGAAGUAAAAGGAUCUCUCCAUUCUGCAUACGAUUGCUUUUUUCCCUUCAACUCCGAGCCAAAAAUAAAUCUACUGCUCGGAUCGGCUGAAUGACAGUGGUGUAAAUUAAACUGAUUUUAUCAGUGACCAGGUUCCACAAUUGGAAAAAUUAAAUGCCACUUUGAGAGACAAGGAUAAUACGGAACAGAUCUAUAAAACAGCUCCUUCGGACAACAACAACAACAACAUCAACCCAACAAGAACCUAGGUACUGGCGAUCCCUUCUUCAUCCCACUCCGUUAUGUCACAUCAUCCAGUUUGCCUUUCUGCGGUAUUGAAAUGACUGAAACCAUUGUUUGAUGCAAAGGGACUAGCGAUGAUGAGUCAUGGACUUUAUGCCACAGCAAAGGCAACAGACAUGGCUCUCAGGCAAAUUUUUUAUUUUGAUCACGCGUCUAAUUGGACUCCCCUUUCAGAUGCACUUUGCGGCACUUCCAACCCACCCCACAGCUCCAGAAGAGCCAUCAGCAAACUCAGGGCUGAGCUCCCAGAACGACAAGCCGCUCUGCCAGCAUCUAAGAACUGCAGAAACGCAACCUCGAAGUCCUUUUGCCAGGAAAAAAACCCUCUGCUUCCGUGCCUCCCGCCGGCCCCCGAGGCGAGGGGAGGCCUUGAGCCACCUCCGCGCUCUCCGCCCGCCCGGCCCGGCUCGCCGCCCGCCCGAAGGGGCCUGCCUGCCCGCAGGGGCACGGCGUAGCUCCGGGGCAGCGGGAGCGGGCUGUCCCCGCAGGGCCAGCGAGCCGCCUCCAGCCGCCCGCCGCUUCCCCGCCGCGACGGGAACAGCGGGAACAAAGCCCGCGGGGGCUCGGCCCGGCCCGGCUCCGCUGCCCUCCCGGCCCGGUGCCGGGCCCCGCGGUAGGACGGGCCGGAGGCUGGGGCGGUGCGGGACCGGGGGGCGCAGCCGUGCUGCAGUGAGGGCGGGUCGGCUGCUGUGCGGGGAGGGUGGUCUCUGGAUGAGCCGGGAAACAGGCUCUUCUUCCUCGCUAUGACUGUACAGAUUCAUGUGACAUUGAGGUUGGGGAGGUGGGAGGAAGGCGGGGGGGGGGAGGGAGAGGACCCGGAGGGAAGGGGGAGGGUUGAACUUUCUGCCGGGCUCGGCUUUUCACACCUUUCUGUCCCGACGAUGCAAGAGGACGUUUUGGGAGAGAGCGGCUCGGCGGGGUCCCCUCCGAGCAGGUCCCCCUCGACCUUGCAGGGACCCGGCCGGGAUGCGCGGGGCUGGGAUUGUGCCGGGUUUCAAGGACACGGGAGAUGAUCAGGACUUUGGGAGCCAACAUCUGCCUGGCUGGUGACGUCAGCAACCCCGUGUAAUCCUCUUGUACUGAAGGCAGAUGCCUUAUUUGUUUGGCUGGAGAGGCAUUAAUCCCUAAUUCUGGAGCAGCAAGCGAGGGGGAGAGACCGGACCGCUUCCUACCCCCCGAAAGCACCUAGCGGGGCUCUCCUCCUCUCCUGCGCUCCGCGGCUCCGACUGGGCGGAGGAGCUGCCAGUCCUCGGCAGGCGGCCGCACGCAGGAGCUGCGGUGCCGAGGGGGGCCGGAGCCGCCUGCCCAGCCUGCCCCCGCAUGCCCCGGCAAGCCUACAGGGAAAGUCUCCGGAAAGCCCAGCCCGCCGCCGCCGCCGGCCGUCGUCGCGCAUCCCGCCUCGCCUCCUCUCUCCCUCCCGGGCCCUGGCGCCAAGGCAGCAGUCGAGGUCAGCCCGCCCGGUUCCUGGGGUCCGGCCGGGGUCGAGCCCGCAGGGCCGUGCACGGUGCCCGGCCGCCCCGCUCCUCCCCGACGUGCCACCAGCACCGGAAAGGAAUGGCCCCCGUCCUGAGCGGGGAAAGAUGGCAAUAAGCGUAAUAAUAAUUAAAAAAAGCUUAGGCUGAUUCUUUUUUUUUUUUUUUUUUGUUAUUAUUGUGAUUACUUUACCCCUCAUUUCCUCACUCGCCCAGUUCAGCGUAGGCAGGCCAGAUGGGCUGCCCAGACCCUCCCGGGAAAGGGGCAGGUGCGAGUGAGGUAAAUUUUUUUCCGCUUUACAAAGAAAGAUGACACGUGCUGCCCUUUCAUUUUUCAUCGCCGAAAGACCCUGUCUCCCCGCCCCCGGCCGAGAGGAGCGGGGAUGCUCUGGGGGUGCGGGCUCCCCCCGCCCGCGCUCCAGCGGAGCCGCAGGACCAGGCGGACCGAGGCAGCCGGAGAGACACGGUCCCUCCCAGCCAGGGAUGCCAAAUCACAGACGUCGAGUCGGGGACAGCCAACUCCUGCGUUUAAAAUCACGCGAAGACGCUGGCGAAAUUAAAGCACUCGCCUGGAAGUGUGUAAUAGGCACACGCCUAAUUUCUAUUAUUAUUAUAAUCCAUUAAAUACGUAUUUAACAGCUUCCUGGGCACUGCAAACAACAGUCAGGCUAGUAAGAAAACUCGAACGUGAAUUACAUGCAGCCCAGACCAGGAUAGGACUAGGGCAGAGAGAAAUUACCGGGUUUUUUUCGGGGAUCGGUUGCUAUUCUGCUUCCAGAGAGAGAGAGGGAGAGAGAGAGCGCUCCAAGGCUCUGACUCUCCGUGUUCACAGCGGACCUUGAUUUAAUGUCAUACAAUUAAGGCACGCGGUGAAUGCCAAGAGCGGAUCCUCAAGGCAGCAAGCAUGAAAGAUUUCGCUAGAACAUAACAUCGCAAUAAGGUUAAUAAUAAAAAUAAUAGCAAUCAGUUAAAAUAAAUUUUAAGAAGGGAGAGACAAACCAAUAAAGAGCUCGACAGCCUGUACUCACCUACGGAAAUCGAGACUAAAUAGGACCGGCGGACUGAACGGCUCGGCCCGGGAAGGAGAUGCGGCUGCCACGGGACGGGGCCCGCCGGGGCAGCUGUCAGCAGCAGGUAACGGGGCCGGGGGAAGUGCUGGAGCGCUGCGGUAGCCGUGGUGGUUUGUCAAGGUAGUGGUGGCUCGACCUCUCGCUUUCCUGGGCUAAACCAUGUAAAGUUGAUUAAUGGGAAAUAAAUACGUUUUCUAAUAUUA
Molecule: long non-coding RNA, 6012 nt
Organism: Falco peregrinus (peregrine falcon)
Lineage: Eukaryota; Metazoa; Chordata; Aves; Falconiformes; Falconidae
Exons: 5
Source: RefSeq, a predicted model, not a curated record